Molecule: RNA transcript, 9906 nt
Organism: Ruditapes philippinarum (Manila clam)
Lineage: Eukaryota; Metazoa; Mollusca; Bivalvia; Venerida; Veneridae
Gene name: T-cell activation Rho GTPase-activating protein-like
Exons: 11
Source: RefSeq, a predicted model, not a curated record
UUUUUAAGUGUUUGAGUGGGGUAAAGAAAAGUUAACUGGAACCUAUUGUUAAAUGCUGUGAGAAAGUUUAUGGGAUUAGUUUGCUGGCUGGAUAAUUAAAAAAAAAAACACCACCCAAAGUUCUCAACUUUCUUUGAUUGAUCAUACAGUGACAUCUGAAGAGAACUCAAACAAGAUUCAAGCAUCCAGGCUACCAUGAUGAGGCUUGGAUCAUGGUUAUAAGAGGCUUGAUGAUGACUGGUACCUGUUUGAACGGUUACCAUGCUGCGUAAUGUGUUUGGCUGCGUUUCAGACAGAAGCACGGAGGCCAUGCGCCAUCAAAAAAUAAAAUUUGGAGCCCCAUUAUCCACUGCCCUAAAGAAUGGAUACCUUCCAAUACCUAUGGUUGAAUUACUUGUAUAUGUGGCAAGGGAAGGUCUCAACACGCGUGACAUAUUCCGACGGCCAGGAAAUCCGAACGAUACAAGGCGUGUUGUUAAGAGAUUAUCAGAGGGGAAGCCAGUUAUUUUCUCAAACUAUAGCUUCUAUACAUUAGCCUCUGUUAUAAAGAAAUUCCUGCUGAGUAUACCUGAAGGUGUGUUCUCACCGGAGGGGGAGGAAUCUUUGCUCAAAACACUCACCAUAGGACAUAAAAUGGAGCAGUACGAUGCUAUCCAUGAUUACAUCACAUCAUGCAGUCCCGCUCAUCAACAGCUUCUAUCACUCUUAUUUGGUAUCUGGUUUACCAUGGUUCAUAACUCACAACAAAAUUAUAUGUCCACUGAAGCCUUGUCUAGGAGUGUAGCUGGCAGUAUGUUCCAUACCUGUGCGAUGGAUCCUGCCAAGGUUGAGAAAGCAAGUAGAAUUAUGCAGCUGCUCAUUGACAACUUUGGAGUCGCACGAGUAUUUGGACAGCACAACAUCGAGUAUUUCGCGGAGGUCACGCACAUUGAGAUCCAUGUCAGAGAGACAUUCAAAUAUCAGUACAGUUAUCCAGCUGAAGACAUUUUACCUCGUCACCGAGUGCUUCAUGCAUUAGUUCUGUAUAUGUUAUCCGAGGGUAAACUGUCGGGAUUUAACCCGUUCACUCAUGCAAUAUCCGAGGAUGCGUAUAAAGAUAUGGCAUUUCCGCGACUGACUCGAACUAGGGAGACGGACCUUGCUCAAACCUCGGAGAGUCAGGAAGGUGACGGUAACCAGACCGAGGAGAAGAAUGGGCGGAGAGAGGAGGAGGAGAGUAAUUUACUGGUCACUUCCACCGUCUCUGUACCGGAAGUGUCACUAGUACCCUCUCCAGAAGUUACCAAGAGACCAAAGUCUGUAGAAGACAGUCUAAAUGAAGCUCACAACCAUACACUGCCGAAGCCCAGUCUUAGUCGCUAUAAUUCCGUCAAACGUAAACAACUUGAGCGACUAAGACAACGUUCCGAUUGGUUCCUGGGACCGAGCACCGUUAGUAACACUGUCAUUAACAUCAGCAGUCCUGUCAUCCACAUUGACCCGCCACCAAGUCCACCCACCAUACAUCAUGAACCAGUCCAGAAAAAAUCUUCAGGGAAUUCUGUAACACGCUCAUCUUCCGAAGGAGCAGUUCUCGACGGUUUUUCCGAUCAUGAUAGCAUUUAUAGUGACCAUUCAAGCCGUAGUGAAUCGCCGGCCUCAGAACCGGCGAGGACCAAUAACGCAGCAUUGUGUAUUCGGCGAGAUAUUGUGCAUUCGGAUACAUUAGAUAGUUUAACGGGCGAUCUUGAGGAUAGCAAUGGAAAUUGUGUGGGAUUAAGUGAAGACGAAAUGACAGAAUCAGAGAUAUGUUAUUUUAUGAUCGAACAUAAAUACGGUGAACCGCGGUCCUAGCAAAUAGUUUUUUUCGUGUUCGGAAACAUAAUAGGAUAGUGACUAUGAAGUGUAGAAUUCAUCACGGGGAAUUUAGUUUAUAGAAAAUUGGAUAAGGAAACCUACAUUAUAAAAGCCAAAUAGAAUAUCUGAAAAUUUGAGAGAGAAAAAAGCAUCAGCAAAGAUCAUAAUAAAGUUCUUUUUUAAAGAUUGAUGAAAUUUUAGGCUUUAAAUUUCAAAAUGUGUACAAAAAUGGCUCAGUAAAUAUAAAAUUUUUAGCAGACGAGUCUAAAAGUAGGUCUGAUCGUCUAAAGUUAAAUGACUAUGUAGUAUAUUAAUGGUGUUUCUAAGGUUGUAGCUCUCUACUUUUUUUGUAGUCGUACAAUUUUAUAAUGUGUCCAUUGAUCAGUGAUCGUAACAUCUUUCAUGUAGUUUACUUUUUAGGGAGGCUUCAAUAUGUUUCAGAUAUAUUUGAGCCGUGUCAUGACAAAACCAACGUAAUGCGUUUGCGAUCAGUAUUGAUCCAGACCAGCCUGCGCAUCCGCGUAGUCUGAUCAGGAUCCAUGCUGUUCGCUAUCAGUUUCUCUUCUUGUUAUAGGGUUUGUAAGCGAACAGCAUGGAUCAUGAUCAGACUGCGCGGAUGCGCAGACUGGUCUGGAUCCAUGCUGGUCUCAAACGCAUUAUGUUGGUUUUGUCGUUACACGGCUCAUUUUCUGUUGAAUUUCUUAUUUUCUUAUCAUUGAGGUGUUUCAUGUUGAUUGGUCACAUUGAGUGAUUGUGUAUUUAGUUAAUUUACACUAGCUUAUGACGUUAUGGAUAUAGAUGCAAACUUGGCUUUAAAGGCGAUUUAAAUUGAUAACUUUCCAUUUCUCAGUAAAAUAGUAGCCAUGCUGUUUAGAUCUACGCUAACUGUUUAGUGCUAGGCCAGUUGGUCAAAGUUCACUUAUUUAAUUGGAAAACAUCUCCAAAAAUUGUCAUGAUACAAUUUUUUAUACAAAACUGAAUAAAGGUUGUUUAGUAGUUAAAAACAGUUGAGAUAAAAUGCUGUUAUUUGAAAUGUAACUGCGUGAACAAGUAUUAGUUAAUGUAAUUUAUAUAAUUUUUAUAUGUAUGGUUAGAAUUAUAACCAACCUAUAAUUCGCUAAAUAUAAGUUUUCAAUAUAUCGUCUGGAGUAUAAUGAAAAUAGGGAUGUUAGAAAUGUUCACACAUUUAUCUUUAUGUAAUACUGAUUUUCUUAAAUUAUACAUACCGAUAAAUGCUCCGCAUGAACACAAAACUGUGUGUAUAUCGGGAUACUGAACAAUUUAUGUUAAUUUUAUAUUUAUGCAGUGAGUGCUAUAUAGUUUACAAGAUUUCCACUCAAAUAAUUUUUAAAAAAAGAUGAAAUAUUCAGAUAUUUCAUAUUUUUAUUUUGUGUUCACAUUAUGUAUAUAUUGAAAUUGAAUUGACUUAAAUUUGUCUCAAUGUCUUCAUAUAUUUGCUUCGGUUUUUUUUUUUGAAGAUAUAUGUCUACACAGAAUGGUUUUCCCCUUUUUUUUUCUACAAUGAACUGUAAUAUAUACUUUAUUGCCUAACAAUAUGCCUUAGGGACUUUUUUGACCAAGAUUUUUUGACAUAAUAGUUCUUUUUUGUGUUCAGUAUUUUACAUUAUAGAUUUUUAUUUUUUUGCCGUUUUUCAAUAUUUAUGUAUAGGGUGAGCUGCAAAGUUCUUGUGAAGGUCCAAAAGUUUCGAUUUCUCAUUUAAGGUCAGCGUUCAUUAAAGGGUCAAAGGUUGUGAGUCUUUGAAAUUUAUGCAAGUGUUGAAUUGGUUGAUCUGUUUCUGAAGUUGAAUUUACCGGCCCGAAUUUACUACUUAAUUAAUUGCAUUAGAGUCGCAUAUAUAUUUCAAUAUCUGAAUCUAGUCGUGAAAUAUUUAACCAUUUCCCCGCUGAAUUUGCAAAAUUGAUUUGCCCUGCUUUGAAUUUGAAACGGUCCAUUCAAUGUAUUAAGGGAUUUAAUUAUCUAAAAUUUAAAAUGGAGCUGCCACAACUUUAGAGCUUGGUCAGACCCCACAAAUGUGCAGGUUAGCCUGUCUCUAUACUGGUGGCAAAGACUUACCACAUUGGCUUUCAGCUGUCAAAGGUUAAAGUUGGCUGACUUGUACGGUAGUUCUACUUAUAAAAGUUGUGUAUUCGGCGCAACACUGAAAUUAACUUGGAAAACUUUGAAUUUUUAUUUUUUUUAAAUGGACCUUCUUUUCAUUUAUAUACUAAUGUAUUUUUUGUGUUAUUUAUUUUGUUUGUCUCGAAGAUUGUUUCUUACUGAAAGUCUAGUUUUCCUUUGGUGUAGUUUAUUAAUAUUAUUUAUAUACAUGUAUAUUUACACAAUUAAAUUUAAGGGUUGUCGACAAUGUCAAUGUUAUUUUUCGCUUUCCAAAGGUUGGACUUAAAGUGUUGUAUUUAAUUUACCUUAUGUAACGAUAUUUACUUUUAAUGAUAAAUUUGUAGAUUGUAUUUUGUUAUAUUUUUUCGACUUGAUUUUGAAUUUUUUAUUCUUUACUAAAGGAUGAAACUUUUGUUGACAUUUCUGACUUUAGUUUAAAAAGGAGGAAACAAACAUUUUAGGUGGCAAGUUAAGUGAGAAUCAGAUCUUUUUUUUUUUUUCUCACAUAAAUUUAGUGCCAAGUUUGAAGUUAUUUUUAUUACUUAGCUUAAUCUACUUAUCAAGGUAAUGAAGCUGAUAAACUAACAUUUUGUCGCUAUGUCCCUGACAUUGAGAGUAACAUUGACCUUGAAUGUGUCAAUGUGACCUUGACCUAGAUAUUUUUUUGUUACUAUAGUAUUAAGAAUGUCAGUUAGACCUUGGGGUUUAGAAAAAUGUCACAAUUUUUAUUGCUAAAUUUUGAUUAUUAACAUUUAUAUAUUACAUAUAUUAAGCUCUCUAAACUUUUCUUGAUGUAACUAUUUUAUCAAAAUUUAGUGCAAUAUUUAUUUAUUUAUGCUAAUAGUCACAUAUGUACCAUUUGAAAAAAAAAGCAAUAUAUGUUUAAAAAACAUGACAGAGUAUCCCUGAACUUUUUGACAAUAAAUGUAAUUAUGAACCCCUAUAAAUGUAUGAUCCUUAUUUCUUUUAAAGGAAUUUUUUUACUUAUUUUUUUGAAAACUGGGUAUUUGUGACCAGGUUGUAUUAUUUCUUUACUUCUGAAAAAGUUUCCUUGUUAUGUUGGUGAAUUUUCACUUGUUCUUUUUUCUAGUUAAAAUUCUUUCAGUUAAAUUGUUAACAGUUAGCCAUUUGUGUGUUUGUUUAAAGUUAUAGUUGAAUGUAAGUAAACUCAAAAUCAAGCAAGAAAAUUUAAAGAAAAAAAGCUACUUUAUAUUUUGAAUAAUUUGAUUUCUUAGUUUUUUGACAGACAGUCUUUUGUUUAGUCUGCAGGGCAAGUAAAUAAUGACAUAGUAACAAUAUCUGUUGAACUUCUGUGUGUAUACGUGUGUACAUGACAUAAUGCUGACAUCAUCAAUAUUUGUGAAGUUUUAUCUUGAACAUGUCAGUAGAAUGAACUCUGAAGGUUUUUUCCUAUUUUGUUAUCCUAGCUGUUGAAACUUUUUUGCUUUGCAAAAUUUGACAACUUGAAAUACAGAGCACUUUAAAAUAUUGAAUAUAAAUAAAAUAUAUGUAUUUGUAUGGAAUUUGUUUAUGAUAUUUUAUGAACAGUAAGUCUGUCCCCUAAGUUUAUUCCCAGUUUAUUCCUGGCAUUAUAAUUGCUGAUUUUUCUUUUUCUUUUAUAUAAUUCAUAUGUUAAGAUUUAAGAAACCUCGGUUUCUGGUUAAAUCAUACAUUACUAGUCAGAUAUAGCCUUUAUUCUUGUAUUACAUGAAUGAUCUAAAUUUGAAGGUCCCAAACAUUAUUUUAAAUAUCUGCUAUUCAUGUAUAACAUACUAACUAAUCUAUAAAAGUUCCGAAAUCUUGCUUAAUAAGAGACUAGUGAGAGGAAAGCUAUAAUUGUAAGGUUUUACUUAUGUUACACAGAAUUAAAGAAUUUCGUAAGUUAAAGAGAUGACCGUUUUAUAAAUAAAAUAUUGUAAAUUCAAAUAAUCUGCAUGUUACAAUUUCUUUAAUCGUGUUUUGCUGAGGUCUUCGGGGGAAAAAUGUGCCACCCUGUUAUAUAAAUAGUACAUUAAUAAAUUUUGUUUAUUAUUUGGCCUAUUUUGUUGGCCUUUCUGCUGUUGCUUCCAUAGACUUUUUGUAAGAAUGUAGGUGUAUUUAUUCUUGAUAUUUAAAUUCUCUCAUUCCAUUUGCAAUGCUAGAAUUUUUUUUUGACCUAUUUGUAUAUUUUUGCAAGAGAAGAUGGAUGGAUUAUAGCCACAUAUAUCUUCUGAAUUGAGUUAGCAAGUGUGAAAUAUGACUGCCGAAAGUUGUUUACAAUAGUUAUAUGCAAUAGACACAUGAACGUUUAUUCUUUUAUAAGUGUGUUAUCAAAAAGUUUGUGUAGGGAUUCUAGUUUUUAAUAAAGAAAUAUAAAUUUUAGUUUUGUGUAACACAAAUGUAAUUUUCACUAUAACAUAGCCACAGACUUGUUUACAGUAUUCAUUAUGUAAAAUAUACAUACAAAAGCUGAAAAUUUAGCUAAAUAUUUAAGUUUUCAGAAGUGUUAUGUUUUCUUUUGAAAUUUAUUUUAGUUGGGUAGAGAUUUGGGGUGGGGGUGGCAUUGAUUUUGAUAGCAUUGUUAUUAUUGUGAAUAUUUGUUUUAUUAGUAAUUACUUCUUUCUUGCAUUGAUAAAUUCAGUACAGCAGUAUGUUGUUGUUGUUUUUUUGCAUUGGGUAUACCUGCAUAUUAUAUACUGCCACUUGUGAAAUAUUUAUUUUCAUACCACCCGAUGAAAAUAAAUCCUGUAUUUAUAGAAAAAACUUGAAUAUCCUCUAUAUAUUAAUUCAUGCACAGUAACUCUGACCUGUUAAAAUUGUAAGCCGUAAAUAACGAAACUAGUCUGACCAGUUUCUUGUUUCUUGUUCAAAUGAUUUUUUUUUAUUGGACAGUUAAACAAAUGAAAAAGUUAUUUUUUUCCCCUUAAACUCUGGUAUGUUUUGGUUAACCUAGUCAGUGUCUCUUUUUCAAGACUUUUAAAUGUUGUUUUUUUUUUUUUUUGAAGCAUUUACUGCAGUAAAUUAUCUUGUAUUUUAUAUUAUCCUUUACCUAUUUUAUUUUACCAAUUGACAGAUUUUCUUCUACUGCAAUUGCACAAAUAGCUUCCAGUUCAUAUAAUAUUAUGUUUACUUAGCUCCGAAUUUGCACAUUGCAGCAGUCUAAUGCAAAAACUACAAUGAAAGUUAAAAUAGGUGAAGUAAGGAAGCUAUCCACUACUCGGGUGCCCGUUCAUGCCUGAAAUAAUACAAGGUAGGGCACCUGAGGUCUUCCGCCAGCAGUAAAGCUGGAAAGUCACAAUAUGAACUAUAUACUGUGUUGGUGCAAAGUAAAACCCAACCAAACAAAAAACAAAAACAAAAAAAGAUGAAAACUUUUUACAGGACUAAAUGAUAUGGUCAAUAUGUGUUGUAUAAUGGUAGGCCCUGAUAAAUCAUAAUGAAGAGAUACAUGGUGAAUUGUGAAGAAGUAAAUACUGUCAAAAGGAAGAUAAAAUAGGAAAAGAAUAAACAAAUGUCUCAUACUUCAGAUAUCCAGGGUCUAAUUGAUUAUUUUAGAUAUAAAGCAUUUUUUACACACCUUGUGAAAAUAAUUUUUUGUUGAUGUUAUUUUUUUUUAAGUGGCCAAUUUCAUAUGUCCCGAAAGAUAUGUUUCAAUUUUUUUUUCCUUUUAUAUUUCAUGAUAUUGAUAAAGUUUGUGACAUGCACUUGUGCUACUAUGAAGUUGUAAUAAUCCAUUGAAAGUUUUUAGGUAUCUAGCCCUUAACCAACAGGAAGUUAUUAGUCAUUGCCACCAGUAUAGAGCCACUGGCCAGUUUUCACUUCCCUGCAGUCCAACCAGGCUCUUUACUGUCGGUAACAUGAUUUUUGUACUUUGAUAUUGAAAUCCCCUAAACUUUGAAUGGACUGUUCCAUUUUCAAGUCAGGGCAAACACAUAAAUUUGGGAGAUGAAGCCAGAAGGGUUUAGUGCUUAUAAGUGAAGCAGCUAACGGUAUAGAGCCUGGACAGGUGUUCAGGCUGACCUGGCCCUAUAUACUUAUAUGGCUUUGACAAAAUCUUUCUUUUCACAAGUUAAAAGAAAAAAUUACUGACACCCGAAAAGCGAUAAUUAACUGUUUAGAGUCGUUGAUAGCAGUGAGUUUAAAAUACAGUUUGUUUUUUGUUGACAAUGUUAAAUAGUUCAUGAUGCUUUUAAUUAUUACUUAAGUUUGUAAAAUACUAGAAUUGUUGCUGUUGUUGUUGUGUUUUUCUUUUGCAGGACUUUCAAUAGGGCUUACAUUAUGUGGUUUCUGCUAAUGAUGAUUUUGUUACCAACCUAAAUACUGAAUGAUUCAGACUUUAGGCAGACAUUGUACAAUUUGUAUUUUCAUUUUUUUCUAUAUGUAUAUAUAUUUAUUAACUACUGUGUUCCAAGAUGAGUUAAUGAUCACAAUAAAUGUAUUCUGUAUUUUCCAGAAUUUUUUCGAUAUAGUUCUAUAAGAUUGAACACAGAUCAUAUUUUGCAGGCUGUUCAGUAGCUUUUUAGGGGAAAAAAUCCUAGGAAAAGUUUCUUUAGAAAACUAAGAAACAUAGAAGGGAAAAAAUACUAGUUUUUGGCAUAAAACUAGGUUAAGUAUGUGCACCUGAUCAUUUGAUGACAUUUACAUUACAACUUUAUAAUGUCGACCUCUUUUUAGGCCAUUUUUUACAAUGCAUAAUCUUUUUCUUUCAAUUCAUGCAGUAAAAUUUAAUGAUCAAAAAUAAUGGUUUCCUACUUACUCAUAGAGAAAGUACAAUGUGUUAACACUAGGAAAACAAGAAUUUUCUUGAAAAUAAAAAAAGAAACUAGUAAAGUCUGGAGAAAACGGCAAGAAAAAUAUAAAUGCUGGAGGGCCUGUCAUCCUGUUCUUGCUUACAUAAUGUGUAAAACAAUCAAAAUGUUCACAAAAAGUUAUUUGAUGCUUUUUUUAGAUUUCAAUUGCAAGUUGUUGUAUUAAUAUUGUACGAGGUUAUUGUAUGAAUGGUAUAGGAGGAGUUUGUUUGAUGUUCUUUCCAUUUUUUAACCCUUAACCUGCUGGAACCAAGUGAUCAGCCUUUGCCACCAGUAUAGAACCAGGCCAGCAUACACUUUUGUGCAGUCAGACCAGGCUCUAUACUGUUGGUAGCUGAAUUUGUGUAUUUAGAUAUUCAAAUCCCUGUUAAAGGAACUCCACUGAGGUUCACAAGCCUAAAAACAGAUAAAUUUGAAUUGCUUAAAAAUAUCAGCUGGAGCACUUAAAACUUAAUAGAAAGAUAUGAAAAGAUGAUCUAAAAAUAUACUCAGAAAUGAAUUAAAUAUUUUUUUUUUGUGCUAUUCUUAGCCCAAUUUGAGUGAAAAGCUUUGCAAAGCUGUUCAGUGUUUACUUUUAGGAUUUUUCAAAAUUAGAAUAAUUAUUCUGGAAAGACGGAGAGGCAAUGAUUUGAAAUUUUGCACACAAGUUAUUGGUCUAGACCUACAUAAAAUGGAGCAUUAAUCUCGAAAAAUCAUUUCCAGUCCCAUGUCAUAAAAACCUCAGUGGAGUCCCUUUAAUGAACCAUUCCAUAUUAUUCGAAACUGGGCAAGUUCAAUUAACAUAUUUCCGCAGGUUAAGGGUUAUUUAUAUCUCUGAUCACUGGAUAUUUUUUUUCUUUGCUUUCAAUCAUCAUUGUUUUUAAUCAUUCUAGAACUGUAUAUGAUAAAAAAAAUGAUUAUGUAAUAUAUGUUUCUCUUUUAACCCCUAACCUGCUGAAUUUCUAAAUACGGACUUGUUCCAGCUUCCAUUAAUGGAACAGUCCAUUUUCAAUUUUUCGGGGAUGUCAAGAUCGAAAAAUUUUAGCCGGCGAACAGUCUAGAGCCUUGUGGGAUUGCACAGAUGUGCAGGCUAGCCUGGCUCUAUACUGGUGGCAAAGGUAAAUCACUUUAGAUUCUAGCAGGGUAUGGGUUAAUUAUUUUUAAGUAAAUUCUUUAAACACUAAA